Molecule: unclassified non-coding RNA, 1740 nt
Filed under: Hevea brasiliensis (rubber tree)
Lineage: Eukaryota; Viridiplantae; Streptophyta; Magnoliopsida; Malpighiales; Euphorbiaceae
Source: RNAcentral
CACAGACAGAACCCGAAGUCUUUUGGUUGACGUAGCUUCAUCUCCAGAGCACCUUCCCUUAAUUUAAUGCUCAAAUGACGGGGCUUCAAGAGCCGUGAUCUGCCACGGAGCACUUCCCUCAGCCUCUAGAAUUUCCAGCAAUUCUCCGUUCUCAUUUUCAGCGGCACCAGCGGCGUUGCGUUCCCGACAAUUGCAUUGAUAUCCUGCUCCCCUGUUUUCUUCCCUUCCGGCCAGGUAUCUGAGAAUUACGUUCUCAGUAGAUCAAUAUUGAUGAGGUGAUGUCUGUAACAGAUAUGGUGUCAUCAAGAAGCAUGGCUCAAACAACGUCAUCGUUUUCAUCUUCUUCCCCUUCAUCUUCAUCAUCAUCAUUGUUACCAACCAACCUCCCUCUUUUCUCUGCCUUCCUUGCCUGUGCUCUUGCUCAGUUCCUUAAGCUCUUCACAAACUGGUUUAAAGAAAAGAGAUGGGAUUCUAAAAGGAUGCUUGAUUCUGGUGGAAUGCCAUCUUCACAUUCUGCCACUGUGACAGCUCUAGCAAUGGCUAUAGGUCUACAAGAAGGAACAGGAUCACCAGCAUUUGCAAUUGCAGUUGUAUUGGCCUGUGUUGUAUGUGCUUUCAUAAUUUCCCUUUUUGAAGUGUUAGAAUGCAUAUAUUAUUCAUUCAUAUGUGCUGUGACUCGACUUUUUUUGCAAGUUUUUAUAAUAAUUAGAGUUUUCUAUUUUCACUGAUUUUGUCUUCUAACUAAUCUCCGAUUCCUAAUGGUUCUCCUCUAUCUAUCUAUCUAUCUAUCUAGCAAGAGUUCUUGUGAGAACCUUCAAGGCAGUUAAGCAAAGAGGCUGCCUCGUUCCUUGAAAAUAAAAUUUUCAAUCACGCAAUAUGUUUAAAUAAUUAUUCACCGUUUCACCUUUCCUCGAAUCACCUGGAUAUUGCAAUAGAACGGACUGCUCAUGCGCCUCUAUACAAAUUCAGAUAAUUAACAGUGCAAAAUUUUAUUUAUUAAACCCUAAUCCAACUAAUUCAAUGGAUCAAAUAAAAAUCAGAACCCAGAUGCAGAUUUCCAUUUUCCCAUGAAAAAGACGGCAAAAAUUCAAUAGCAACCAGAGAUGAGAUUAGAUAUCCAACACAAAGUUAAUUCAAUAAAAAAUUUCGCAAAUAAAAACUACAAUUUGAUAGUGUAUGUGUUUUCUCCUACAGCAAAAUUAUAAAUCGAUUAUGAUGGAAUAAUUCCUUCUAGAAAAUUAAUUAAUUAUAAGUUGGGAACCUGUUGUCUGUUGAUAAUUACGGAGCUAAUCCUCGUCUUUCUUGCUCUUGGGCUUGCGGUACUUCUCUUCAAUGAGCUUGGCCAUGAAGAGGCCAGAGGUGGCGAGCUUCUUGAUAUUGGGAACGUCAUAGUUUUGAGCAAUGUAAACCCCGCACACAGUGCCUACUAUGAAGGAGAAACAGCUCCUUAUUAUCCCCAUCGCCUAUGCUAUGCUAAUGUGUAAUUGCUGCUGCAAUCGCCGCCACUGGUUGGAUAUUUAGAGCUGUAAAAUUUUAUAUGAUUGGAGAGGUGGAGGGACUUGGGUUCUGGAAGGAUCUGCCACGUCAGGACCCUCUUCUUGAGGUGCUCGAGAGUUGAGUCUGCUGCUCUAGAAUGAAACUGGGAUCAGAGAUGGUCUAAUACCCAUCCUAUGGAGACUCCUCUGCCUCUGGUCCUCAACGUGCAACUAACCGUGAAUGGUCGAGCCGAGUCAAGAAUGG